Long non-coding RNA from Lynx canadensis (Canada lynx), 538 nucleotides. RefSeq lists it as uncharacterized. The record is from RefSeq and is a predicted model, not a curated record. The transcript has 3 exons. NCBI's taxonomy places the organism in Eukaryota, Metazoa, Chordata, Mammalia, Carnivora, Felidae.
AGGAGCAGGGAGGCAAAAUCCUGGUCAGCAAAGGUCCAGAGGGCAGGUCACAGCUUUGAAAGAAUCUAGAGGCUUGGAAAUGGCAGUUCUAACACUCAGGGUUCCCAGAAGGUGGGGAAUGGCAAGCAAACACACACACACACACACACACACACACACACACACACACACACACACACUCAGCCCAGCACAAGAUUUCCCUUUCAUUCUUCCCAGCCAGCCUCUCCCAAUGGCUUACCACAGUCAAAGCUCUCCCUCAUGACUGCAACUGUGUUUUUAUCUGAGCACAGAGCCAAUACUCAUUAUUGAAACCUACUUUCUGCAAUAGACCGACUUCCUUCAGAUACAGAGCACCUAGUAACAAGCGUCUUGCAAAAUGCUGGAAGUGCAGGAUGAAGAAGGCAGAAACAACCCUGCCCUCCAGGAGCUUACAGUAUCCAGCAGGAAAGAUAAGCAAAAAGUGACUUAUGCGUGCAUGCUAUAUAAUCAUACACACAAAGAGAGACAGCGUGCGAGUGGGGAGGGACAGAAAGAGAAG